CGGAAAGGAAGCGCUGGGGGUAGGAGCAGCUGGGGAAGGCCGCAUAUUUCCUGUUGAUGAAAACUGUUUCUGAUCUGGAUUCCCCAGUUUCUUUGGGAGAGCAGAAUGCUUCCAGACUCAGAACUCCCUCUGGACACCUAAAUGGUGCCUGCCUCCCUCUGUCCGCUGGUGGUGCAGAAGAAGCUCAUUGUCCUUCUGCAGAGGAAGCAGAGCCUGCUGCCGCCCUGGACGACAGAGAUGAGCCUACUUCUCGUUCCUGCAUCUGUAAAACAACCAGUAUCCUCCACGACCUCUCCAGGGAGGCUGGAGAAGGAGCUGACAAUAGGAAAGAGAGAAGGUGAUGGAAAGGUGAGACUAAGGAGGGUUGGGGGAGAAGAGAAAAGCCUCCUCCUGAGGUUCUGUGGUGAGAACAGGAAUAACUCGAAGAGACAACUGGGUGCCAGCCAGCGCUGAGCAGGAACCAGCAAGUCCCGGGAGCCCUGGGGAACUCUGACAAGCCGCAGGUGGACAGCACCUGAAGGAAGGUAAAUAUGUCAAACUCCUGUAAGACAGGAGGGGCAGAAAGUUUUAUUGUCACUUUUUUUGGUACCAGUUCCCACCUCCUCCAAGAUGCCUUCCUUGACUACACCUCCUUAUCUCUGAUCGCCCUUGCUUCAUCUCCCAUAGCACAAGGCACCACAGAAUUGAGCACUUAGUUACUUAGUCUGUCCUGGCCAGUCCUCUUUGCCC
Molecule: long non-coding RNA, 729 nt
Filed under: Phascolarctos cinereus (koala)
Lineage: Eukaryota; Metazoa; Chordata; Mammalia; Diprotodontia; Phascolarctidae
Description: lncRNA (ENSPCIG00000032033.1)
Source: RNAcentral